RNAcentral lists this ribosomal RNA (274 nucleotides) under uncultured bacterium. RNAcentral describes it as "partial 16S ribosomal RNA". It matches the Rfam family "Bacterial small subunit ribosomal RNA", at positions 523 to 796 of the family's 1533-position model. The record is from RNAcentral.
AUACAGAGGGUGCAAACGUUGUACGGAAUUACUGGGCAUAAAGCGUGCGUAGGCGGUUUUGUAAGUGUGAAGUGAAAGCCCACGGCUUACCCGUGGAACUGCUUUGCAUACUGCAGAACUAGAGGAUGGUAGGGGAAAGCGGAACUCUUGGAGGAGCGGUGAAAUGCGUAGAUAUCAAGAGGAACACCAAUGGCGAAGGCAGCUUUCUGGUCCAUUUCUGACGCUGAGGUACGAAAGCUAGGGUAGCGAACGGGAUUAGAAACCCUAGUAGUCC